GUGUUAAUCCCAACACUCGUCACCUGUAAUGGAGAUAUAUGUAAGCCAUAAAUACAAGUUGAGACCACCUUUUUCUUAAUUUUAUUUUUGAUUGGAAAGAAGAGGAUUUAUUAUGUACUUCAACUGAAAAAAAUAGGUCCUAACUGUCUCUAAACAAGAAAAGUUGUAAUGCCACCUAAAUAGGUAAGAGCACCACUUCUAACGCUUCUAGGAAAAUCACAAAAAUAAGAGAACACAAAACCAGAGAAUAUGAGAUCAAAUAGUCAAGGAAAGAAAAAAAAA
RNAcentral lists this unclassified non-coding RNA (282 nucleotides) under Hevea brasiliensis (rubber tree). The record is from RNAcentral. Lineage: Eukaryota; Viridiplantae; Streptophyta; Magnoliopsida; Malpighiales; Euphorbiaceae.